UUGCAUUGCGGCAGCUACACAUGCAGUCGAACGAACUCUUCGGAGUUAGUGGCGGACGGGUGAGUAACACGUGGGAACGUGCCUUUAGGUUCGGAAUAACUCAGGGAAACUUGUGCUAAUACCGAAUGUGCCCUUCGGGGGAAAGAUUUAUCGCCUUUAGAGCGGCCCGCGUCUGAUUAGCUAGUUGGUGAGGUAAAGGCUCACCAAGGCGACGAUCAGUAGCUGGUCUGAGAGGAUGAUCAGCCACAUUGGGACUGAGACACGGCCCAAACUCCUACGGGAGGCAGCAGUGGGGAAUCUUGCGCAAUGGGCGAAAGCCUGACGCAGCCAUGCCGCGUGAAUGAUGAAGGUCUUAGGAUUGUAAAAUUCUUUCAGUAGGGACGAUAAUGACGGUACCUACAGAAGAAGCCCCGGCUAACUUCGUGCCAGCAGCCGCGGUAAUACGAAGGGGGCUAGCGUUGCUCGGAAUUACUGGGCGUAAAGGGAGCGUAGGCGGACAUUUAAGUCAGGGGUGAAAUCCCGGGGCUCAACCUCGGAAUUGCCUUUGAUACUGGGUGUCUUGAGUGUGAGAGAGGUAUGUGGAACUCCGAGUGUAGAGGUGAAAUUCGUAGAUAUUCGGAAGAACACCAGUGGCGAAGGCGACAUACUGGCUCAUUACUGACGCUGAGGCUCGAAAGCGUGGGGAGCAAACAGGAUUAGAUACCCUGGUAGUCCACGCCGUAAACGAUGAUUGCUAGUUGUCGGGAUGCAUGCAUUUCGGUGACGCAGCUAACGCAUUAAGCAUCCGCCUGGGGAGUACGGUCGCAAGAUUAAACUCAAAGGAAUUGACGGGGGCCCGCACAAGCGGUGGAGCAUGUGGUUAAUUCGAAGAACGCGCAGACCUUACCACCUUUUGACUGCCUGGACCGCAGAAGAUCUGGCUAUCCCUUCGGGAUAGGACCAGGUGCUGCAGGCUGUCGUCACUCGUGUCUGGGAUGUGGGUAAGUACCGCACGAGCGCAGCCUCGCCAUAGUUGCAUCUUUAGUGGAAGCUAUGGGACUGCCG
This 1044-nucleotide ribosomal RNA is filed under the name Brevundimonas sp. Its description in RNAcentral is "bacterial SSU rRNA". It matches the Rfam family "Bacterial small subunit ribosomal RNA", at positions 33 to 1154 of the family's 1533-position model. The record is from RNAcentral. Lineage: Bacteria; Pseudomonadati; Pseudomonadota; Alphaproteobacteria; Caulobacterales; Caulobacteraceae.